This 497-nucleotide ribosomal RNA is filed under the name uncultured bacterium. Its description in RNAcentral is "partial 16S ribosomal RNA". It matches the Rfam family "Bacterial small subunit ribosomal RNA", at positions 28 to 507 of the family's 1533-position model. The record is from RNAcentral.
GAUGAACGCUGGCGGCGUGCCUAAUACAUGCAAGUCGAGCGAACGGACGAGAAGCUUGCUUCUCUGAUGUUAGCGGCGGACGGGUGAGUAACACGUGGAUAACCUACCUAUAAGACUGGGAUAACUUCGGGAAACCGUAGCUAAUACCGGAUAAUAUUUUGAACCGCAUGGUUCAAAAGUGAAAGACGGUCUUGCUGUCACUUAUAGAUGGAUCCGCGCUGCAUUAGCUAGUUGGUAAGGUAACGGUUUACCAAGGCAACGAUGCAUAGCCGACCUGAGAGGGUGAACGGCCACACUGGAACUGAGACACGGUCCAGACUCCUACGGGAGGCAGCAGUAGAGAAUCUUCCGCAAUGGGCGAAAGCCUGACGGAGCAACGCCGCGUGAGUGAUGAAGGUCUUCGGAUCGUAAAACUCUGUUAUUAGGGAAGAACAUAUGUGUAAGUAACUGUGCACAUCUUGACGGUACCUAAUCAGAAAGCCACGGCUAACUACGUG